Molecule: ribosomal RNA, 390 nt
Filed under: uncultured bacterium
Lineage: Bacteria
Description: bacterial SSU rRNA
Rfam family: Bacterial small subunit ribosomal RNA
Source: RNAcentral
GGGGACUGAGACACGGCCCUUACUCCUACGGGAGGCAGCAGUGGGGAAUAUUGGACAAUGGACCAAAGUCUGAUCCAGCAAUUCUGUGUGCACGAUGACGGUCUUAGGAUUGUAAAGUGCUUUCAAUCGGGAAAAAGAAAGUGAUGGUACCGAUAGAAGAAGCGACGGCUAAAUACGUGCCAGCAGCCGCGGUAAUACGUAUGUCGCAAGCGUUAUCCGGAUUUAUUGGGCGUAAAGCGCGUCUAGGCGGUUUGGUAAGUCUGAUGUGGAAAUGCGGGGCUCAACUCCGUAUUGCGUUGGAAACUGCCAGACUAGAGUACUGGAGAGGUGGGCGGAACUACAAGUGUAGAGGUGAAAUUCGUAGAUAUUUGUAGGAAUGCCGAUAGAGAA